Molecule: ribosomal RNA, 615 nt
Filed under: Staphylococcus aureus
Lineage: Bacteria; Bacillati; Bacillota; Bacilli; Caryophanales; Staphylococcaceae
Description: bacterial SSU rRNA
Rfam family: Bacterial small subunit ribosomal RNA
Source: RNAcentral
GUGAGUAACACGUGGAUAACCUACCUAUAAGACUGGGAUAACUUCGGGAAACCGGAGCUAAUACCGGAUAAUAUUUUGAACCGCAUGGUUCAAAAGUGAAAGACGGUCUUGCUGUCACUUAUAGAUGGAUCCGCGCUGCAUUAGCUAGUUGGUAAGGUAACGGCUUACCAAGGCAACGAUGCAUAGCCGACCUGAGAGGGUGAUCGGCCACACUGGAACUGAGACACGGUCCAGACUCCUACGGGAGGCAGCAGUAGGGAAUCUUCCGCAAUGGGCGAAAGCCUGACGGAGCAACGCCGCGUGAGUGAUGAAGGUCUUCGGAUCGUAAAACUCUGUUAUUAGGGAAGAACAUAUGUGUAAGUAACUGUGCACAUCUUGACGGUACCUAAUCAGAAAGCCACGGCUAACUACGUGCCAGCAGCCGCGGUAAUACGUAGGUGGCAAGCGUUAUCCGGAAUUAUUGGGCGUAAAGCGCGCGUAGGCGGUUUUUUAAGUUUGAUGUGAAAGCCCACGGCUCAACCGUGGAGGGUCAUUGGAAACUGGAAAACUUGAGUGCAGAAGAGGAAAGUGGAAUUCCAUGUGUAGCGGUGAAAUGCGCAGAGAUAUGGAGGAACA